Molecule: long non-coding RNA, 2689 nt
Organism: Bos taurus (domestic cattle)
Lineage: Eukaryota; Metazoa; Chordata; Mammalia; Artiodactyla; Bovidae
Source: Ensembl
AAAAACACCCAGGUGCGCCCCUCCCGGCCUUCUGCCUCCUCUCCCACAACGCCGGGCCUGUCCCAAGUGAACAGAAGGAGAAAGACAGGGCUUUGGAGUCAGAUUCGCUGGGUUCCAGCUCAGAACUCUGCUUUUUUAGCUGGGUGGUCUUCUGUGAUCCGGUCUGCGUAAUGAAGAAACCCUCUCUCACGCUGUCGCAGUCAGGUCUCAUUCAAUCUGUGCUGGGCAGGUCCCCCAACUGCUCUUUCUGGCUGAACUUCCCAGAAGACCUCGGUCACGAAAUGAGAGCCACAGUGCCUGGCCCAGCUUCCAUGGAGAAGGUGACAUCAUGAGGCUUAAUGGAAUUACAGCUCACUCCAUCAGCUAAUCCUCAACCCUGGAAUCCACCCUCUCUGGCCCUUCCUGGCCUCCCCUCUGUGAUCCCAGGGAGGCUCCAAGUGCGGCAUGAGUGGACCCAAAGCAGAGCUCUUAAAGAAGCCGAGUCAUUGAAAUACAGUGCAAGAGUCAAAUAGCCCAUUUCCAGUGUGAAGACACUAAGAGACACCUCAUGUUAAAAAUGGGAAGCUUGCUGGUACCCCUCACACCGCAUUCGUGGAUGAUAAAUGACGUCAAGUGUUUAGCAAGGGUUUGACAUAUUCUAAGCAUUCAAUCAGUGGUUGUUGCGGUUGUUCAGUUGCUAAGUCAUGUCUUACUCUGUGACCCCGUGAACUGCAGCGUGCCAGGCUUCCUUGUCCUUCACCAUCUCCUGGAGUUUGAGCAAACUCAUGUCCAUUGAGUUGGUGAUGCCAUCCAACCAUCUCACUCUCUGUCACCCCCUUCUCUCCUGCACUCAAUCUCUCCCAGCAUCCAAAGUACUGGAGCUUCAGCUUCAGCGUCAGUCCUUCCAACGAAUAUUCAGGGUUGGUUCCCUUUAGGAUCAGUCAGUGGUAGCAAUGUGGUUUAUUCAUUUAUUUGGCUAUGGCUUUCAGCAUGUAGGAUCCUAGUUCCCGGACCAGGGGUUGAACCCACACUCUUGCUUUGAAAGCACAGAGUCUCAACCACUGGACAGCUUGGGAAUUCCCCAGUGACAAUAAUUUUAAUAUUUUGUAUUAACACUAACAACUUUAAUGUUCUGUUUUUUUUCUUCUUUUAAAUUUUUUAUUGAAAUACGGUUGAUUUACAAUGUUGUGUUAGUUUCCAGUGUCAGUGUCCUAUUUUUAACAUUCCAAGAAAUUUUCAAUAGUCUGUUCCAACUGCCAAUGCCAUUGCACAUAGGCCGGCACAAAAGGAGAAUUUCUUUCAUUGUUUAGGAUGAAUGCCUAUUUACGCAGCAAGCUUAAAGCCUUGAGAAACAUGGUAUUCAACUGUUCAAUAAAAUUCUGUUUAAAAAAGAUGGUGAGAGGUGGGUAGAUCUAGGAAUAUGAACAGCUAAUUAGUCUUGUGGAAGAGGUGAGAACACAAGCAUAAGCCCUCCCGGGAAGAAGGAGUCAUGGUGAGGGAGAGACGGAGAAACAGAGGAGGGGCAGGGGACUUCUCUGGGGCCCAGUGAUUAAGAAUCUGCCUUCCAAUGCAUGGGUUUGGUCCCUGGUCAGGGAACUAAGAUCCCAUAGGCCACGGGACAACUAAGCCCUCGUACUCCAGUUACUGAGCCUCCACAGCUCAACUAGAGAGCCUGUGUGCCGCAACUAAGACCCCACGCAACCAAAACUAAAUAAACAAAUAUUAAAAAAAAAAAAAAAGAAGAGGGGGCAAACUAAGAUUGGCCAUUAGGGCUUGUGGAGCAAAGGAUGAAGGGAAAGGAGCUUCAGAUAACAGAGUCCCCUCUCUCCAUAACAUGUCACACACCCCACAGUAGCACAGAGUCAUCGAAAGGACACUGGACUCCCAGUCGGGGUGACGUGGAUCCCAGCCCCAGCCCAGUCAUGCCAACCCCAUGUGUCACAGGGAGACCUGGUUCUGUAUUAAUCAUGAACUUGAACAAGUCACUUCACCUGAGAAGCUCCAUAAGGAAAGUGAGACAGCGUGAACUCUGUCUCCUCUACCUGUCUGAUCAACCUGAGACCUAGAAAGGAGGAAACAGACAGCACCCCUCUCCUGCAUGUGCUCAUUCUGGAUAACUGCUCAUAUGAUGCAUAUGUGUUGAUCACUACCCAUUUCAAUGAACACUAGAGAGACUUCCCUGCUGGUCCAGUGGUUAAGACUCUGUGCUCCCAAUGCAAGAGGCAUGGGGUUUGAUCCCUGGUUGGAGAACCAAGAUCCCAUAUGUCGCACAGUGCGGCCAAAACAUAAAAAAUAAACACUCUAGAAAAAUGUGUGCCCCCUGUUACUGGUACCUGCCCUAGUCCCCUCCCACAUUUGCAUGUUAAAUCACUUCAGUCUUAUCAGAUUCUUUUCGACCUUGUGGACUGUAGCUCACCAAGCUUCUCUGUCCAUGGGAUUCUCCAGGCAAGAAUACUGGAGCAGGUUGCCAUUUCCUCCUCCUGAAGACCUUCCCAACCCAGGGAUCAAACCUGAGUCUCCUGUGUCUCCUGCAUUGGCAAGUGGGUUCUUUACCACUAGUGCCACCUGGGAAGCCCCCAUAAUUGGCAUCUGUUUGCUUUUAAAAUCAACUUUAUCUUGAAUCAUGUCAGAUGAAUACAUUAACAUCAGUUUUUAUUGAAUUUGUGAUGCUUUGAAGAAUGGUCAGGAUGUUCACGUGUGUGGGGGGAGG